AGUGAACGCUGGCGGUAGGCCUAACACAUGCAAGUCGAACGGCAGCACAGUAAGAGCUUGCUCUUACGGGUGGCGAGUGGCGGACGGGUGAGGAAUACAUCGGAAUCUACUUUUUCGUGGGGGAUAACGUAGGGAAACUUACGCUAAUACCGCAUACGACCUACGGGUGAAAGCAGGGGAUCUUCGGACCUUGCGCGAUUGAAUGAGCCGAUGUCGGAUUAGCCAGUUGGCGGGGUAAAGGCCCGCCAAGGCGACGAUCCGUAGCUGGUCUGAGAGGAUGAUCAGCCACACUGGAACUGAGACACGGUCCAGACUCCUACGGGAGGCAGCAGUGGGGAAUAUUGGACAAUGGGCGCAAGCCUGAUCCAGCCAUACCGCGUGGGUGAAGAAGGCCUUCGGGUUGUAAAGCCCUUUUGUUGGGAAAGAAAAGCAGCAGGUUAAUACCCCGCUGUUCUGACGGUACCCAAAGAAUAAGCACCGGCUAACUUCGUG
Molecule: ribosomal RNA, 492 nt
Filed under: uncultured bacterium
Lineage: Bacteria
Description: partial 16S ribosomal RNA
Rfam family: Bacterial small subunit ribosomal RNA
Source: RNAcentral